UAUCCUCCCGUUACCAAAUACCAUGCCAUGCAGAUCAGAUGCGCAUCCAACCAGGGAAAACAAGGAAUCAAAUGAACAGUGGUGUCUACUCGUACCUCAACCUGAUAGCCAGAGCGUCAGUGUAGCUUGUACCAUCAUGACACGGAACGAGCUACUCCUCAUAGAGUACUAGCUACGCACGCAGACACGGCAGGGGGGGUCGAGUCGAGGAGAGAAUCUCUCACGCAUCUCGUCGUCGGCUGGCCUCCCAUGAUCGGUCGUCAUGUCCGGGAGAAGCGAAGCAGCCGCAGCGAGGUAAAGGCCGGCCCGGCCGGGCAAGGACUCGGAGCCCGGGUUUCUAGGAGUCAGUCAAUCCAUCGGCACACCACCACGCCACCAGCACCAGGGACUGGACUACUGGAGCCGAGCCGCUAGCUAGCUAGCCCCGC
RNAcentral lists this long non-coding RNA (428 nucleotides) under Setaria italica (foxtail millet). RNAcentral describes it as "long non-coding RNA (SITA_LNC006460)". The record is from RNAcentral. Lineage: Eukaryota; Viridiplantae; Streptophyta; Magnoliopsida; Poales; Poaceae.